UACGUAGGGGGCUAGCGUUGUCCGGAAUCAUUGGGCGUAAAGCGCGUGUAGGCGGCCCAGCAAGUCCGCUGUGAAAGCCCGAGGCUCAACCUCGGGAGGCGGGUGGAUACUGCUGGGCUCGAGUACGGAAGAGGCGAGUGGAAUUCCCGGUGUAGCGGUGAAAUGCGCAGAUAUCGGGAGGAACACCAAUGGCGAAGGCAGCUCGCUGGGACGUUACUGACGCUGAGACGCGAAAGCGUGGGGAGCAAACAGG
RNAcentral lists this ribosomal RNA (253 nucleotides) under uncultured bacterium. RNAcentral describes it as "partial 16S ribosomal RNA". It matches the Rfam family "Bacterial small subunit ribosomal RNA", at positions 524 to 776 of the family's 1533-position model. The record is from RNAcentral.